This 238-nucleotide long non-coding RNA is filed under the name Mytilus galloprovincialis (Mediterranean mussel). The record is from RNAcentral. Lineage: Eukaryota; Metazoa; Mollusca; Bivalvia; Mytilida; Mytilidae.
AAUUAGAGUUUUGACCCCAAUUUUACGGUUCACUGAUAGAAAAUGAUAGUGCAAAUUUCAGGUUAAAGUUUUUGGCUUCAGGUUAAAGUUGGUCAAGGUAGUUUUUGAUGAAGUUGAAGUCCAAUCAACUUGAAACUUAGUAUACAUGUGCCCUAUGAUAUGAUCUUUCUAAUUUAAAUGCCAAAUUAGAGUUUUGACCCCAAUUUUACGGUUCACUGAACAUAGAAAAUGAUAGUGC